RNAcentral lists this ribosomal RNA (484 nucleotides) under uncultured bacterium. Its description in RNAcentral is "partial 16S ribosomal RNA". It matches the Rfam family "Bacterial small subunit ribosomal RNA", at positions 29 to 507 of the family's 1533-position model. The record is from RNAcentral.
AUUGAACGCUGGCGGCAUGCUUUACACAUGCAAGUCGAACGGCAGCGCGGGCUUCGGCCUGGCGGCGAGUGGCGAACGGGUGAGUAAUACAUCGGAACGUGCCCAGUAGUGGGGGAUAGCUCGGCGAAAGCCGGAUUAAUACCGCAUACGACCUGAGGGUGAAAGCGGGGGAUCUUCGGACCUCGCGCUAUUGGAGCGGCCGAUGGCAGAUUAGCUAGUUGGUGGGGUAAAGGCCUACCAAGGCGACGAUCCGUAGCUGGUCUGAGAGGACGACCAGCCACACUGGGACUGAGACACGGCCCAGACUCCUACGGGAGGCAGCAGUGGGGAAUUUUGGACAAUGGGCGAAAGCCUGAUCCAGCAAUGCCGCGUGUGUGAUGAAGGCCUUCGGGUUGUAAAACACUUUUGGCGGGAACGAAAAGGACUGUGCCAAUACCACGGUUCGAUGACGGUACCCGCAGAAUAAGCACCGGCUAACUACGUG